CCUACGGGAGGCAGCAGUGAGGAAUAUUGGUCAAUGGCCGUAAGUCUGAACCAGCCAAGUAGCGUGAGGGAAGACUGCCCUAUGGGUUGUAAACUUCUUUUAUGUGGGGAUAAAGGUUUCCACGUGUGGAUGUUUGCAGGUACCGCAUGAAUAAGGACCGGCUAAUUCCGUGCCAGCAGCCGCGGUAAUACGGAGGGUCCGGGCGUUAUCCGGAUUUAUUGGGUUUAAAGGGAGCGUAGGGCGGUAUUUAAGCGAGCCGUGAAAGUUUGUGGCUCAACCGUGAGAGUGCAGCGGAAACUGGCGGCCUUGAGUGCACGAAAGGCGGGCGGAAUUCGUGGUGUAGCGGUGAAAUGCUUAGAUAUCACGAAGAACCCCGAUUGCGAAGGCAGCCUGCCG
RNAcentral lists this ribosomal RNA (396 nucleotides) under uncultured bacterium. RNAcentral describes it as "partial 16S ribosomal RNA". It matches the Rfam family "Bacterial small subunit ribosomal RNA", at positions 338 to 731 of the family's 1533-position model. The record is from RNAcentral.